This 262-nucleotide signal recognition particle RNA is filed under the name Zymoseptoria brevis. Its description in RNAcentral is "Fungal signal recognition particle RNA". It matches the Rfam family "Fungal signal recognition particle RNA". Lineage: Eukaryota; Fungi; Ascomycota; Dothideomycetes; Mycosphaerellales; Mycosphaerellaceae. The record is from Rfam by way of RNAcentral.
AGCUGUGAUGGCUCAAAUGGAGAGCGCACUCCCCCCAUUUCUGGUACCUUUCCAAUCCGACGUCAUGUGCCCAGGUCGAGCCUUGUGGUGGUCUUCCACUCGCUUCGGCAACGAGCGAUUGAUGGUGCGGCCUUGAGCUUCUGAGGAAUCCUUCAGCCGAGUAAUCGGGCAGAGACCUUCAGACCAUGAGGUGGCGGUAUUGGAAUACACGUGGCGGCGGCGGUAUGAGGCAAUGGGGAUUAUGGAGCGUGCGAUUCUUUUU